AGAAAGCGUCCUCUAGAGCUUUGGCACAGUUACUCUGAUCUGGGCUUUUUCAAAGGGCCCAGGCUAUAGUUUAGGAGAUGGUGGUCAGGAAGCCCUCAUGAAACCUUGUCAGAAGAGCUGAAGUCCCCUGAGUCAGAAGGUCAAUGACAGUAACUUCCAAGGCUCGUCAAUGAGCCUUUUUGUCUUGCAGGUCAUCUUUUACGCUUGUUAAAUAAUGAACAAUAACUCACCACUAGUCACUUUAUACCCAUAACUAACUCUGGCUCUUAUGGUCCCUGGUUACUGGUGUAAGGGCUGAAAUUUAUUUUGUCU
RNAcentral lists this long non-coding RNA (312 nucleotides) under Bos taurus (domestic cattle). RNAcentral's name for it is "long non-coding RNA NONBTAT014127". The record is from RNAcentral. Lineage: Eukaryota; Metazoa; Chordata; Mammalia; Artiodactyla; Bovidae.